Molecule: ribosomal RNA, 465 nt
Filed under: uncultured bacterium
Lineage: Bacteria
Description: partial 16S ribosomal RNA
Rfam family: Bacterial small subunit ribosomal RNA
Source: RNAcentral
GACGAACGCUGGCGGCGUGCUUAACACAUGCAAGUCGAACGGAAAGGCCCUGCUUUCAGGGUGCUCGAGUGUCGAACGGGUGAGUAACACGUGGGUGUUCUGCCCUGCACUUCGGGAGAAGCCUGGGAAACUGUGUCUAAUACCGGGUAUGAGCCAUUCUGAGGGUUGUGGGUGGAAAGUUUGUUUGGGGUAGGAUGAGCUCGCGGGCGAUCAACUUGUUGGUUGGGGAAUGGCCUACCUAGGCGGCGGCGGGUAGCCGGCCUGGGAGGGUGGACGGCCACAAUGGGGCUGAGAUACGGCCCAGGCUCCUGAGGGGGGCAGGAGUGGGGGAUAUUGCACAAUGGGCGCAAGCCUGAUGCCGCGACGGCGCGUGGGGGAUGACGGCCUUCGGGUUGUAAACCCCUUUCGGCAGGGACGAAGCUUUUUGUGACGGUACCUAGAUAAGAAGCACCGGCUAACUACGUG